CCUACGGGCGGCUGCAGUAGAGAAUCAUUCACAAUGGGGGAAACCCUGAUGGGGCGACGCCGCGUGGGGGAAUGAAGGUCUUCGGAUUGUAAACCCCUGUCAUGGGGGAGCAAAUUAAAAAGAUAGUACCACAAGAGGAAGAGACGGCUAACUCUGUGCCAGCAGCCGCGGUAAUACAGAGGUCUCAAGCGUUGUUCGGAAUCACUGGGCGUAAAGCGUGCGUAGGCUGUUUCGUAAGUCGUGUGUGAAAGGCGCGGGCUCAACCCGCGGACGGCACAUGAUACUGCGGGACUAGAGGAAUGGAGGGGGAACCGGAAUUCGCGGUGUAGCAGUGAAAUGCGUAGAUAGCGAGAGGAACACUCGUGGCGAAGGCGGGUUCCUGGACAUUAACUGACGCUGAGGCACGAAGGCCAGGGGAGCGAAAGGGAUUAGAUACCCCUGUAGUC
RNAcentral lists this ribosomal RNA (446 nucleotides) under uncultured bacterium. Its description in RNAcentral is "partial 16S ribosomal RNA". It matches the Rfam family "Bacterial small subunit ribosomal RNA", at positions 338 to 795 of the family's 1533-position model. The record is from RNAcentral.